CUUAAACUAGUUAUCCCCCGGGAAUAUCAACUCAAAUGGCCCAAAUUCAUGAUCUCCCUCUUCCCUCCCACAAAACCCCACCCCUUUUCUGAACUGUCUCAUUACUGUCUAAACCUCGGAGCAUCCUCGACUUGUCACUCUCAGGCGUCCCACAUGGCCAGACAAGAUCCAAGCCUCCAUCUCCUAGAAACCUUCUUGGAUCCCCCAACCACCUUCAGAGCUGCUGGAGCCUUCCUCGCAAAUUAACCAGAGAUAAUCGUAAGGUCAUAUUACCUGAUGGGCAAUAUCUGUAAAUGGCUACUCUUCAUGGUUUGGAGCUGGAAAGGGCCAUGGAGUCCAACCCACUCAUCUUACAGAUGAAGAGACUGAGGUCCAUGGAAGGCUCCUCUACUGUAAAAGAGAGAAUCUGCAGGGCAAGCCAAUCAUGCAACGCAAAGCAAAAGGACAUCAUCUGCCAAUCAAAACAUUCUGUUUGGAAUGUUCCCAGGAAAGGACAGUUGGAAGCUAACCCCAUAGCUGAAGAACUUCUCUCUUGGCUUUAAAGAGGGGAAGGAGGAAGAAGGUUUUGUGUGGCUGAGGGUGGUGGCUGAACCUAAAGAGCUAAUUGUGUCUCUGGACUUGAAUUAAUCAAGAUGAGAUUAUCUGGCUGUUUGGGAAAGAAGAGAGAAGAAAAUAAUUGUCCCUGCUAGUGACUCCCUUACAGACUUGGUGUCACAGUUGUGACAGAACUGCCAUUUUACCAAUACCCUUCUAACUCUUUGUAUAGGUUAGGGAAUACCCCAUCCCUCUUACCUUGUCCUCCAUCAUGUCCUAUCUUCCCCAAUAAACCUCCUUCCUUGAAAAAGAGAGAAAAAGUA
Molecule: long non-coding RNA, 857 nt
Filed under: Monodelphis domestica (gray short-tailed opossum)
Lineage: Eukaryota; Metazoa; Chordata; Mammalia; Didelphimorphia; Didelphidae
Description: lncRNA (ENSMODG00000049362.1)
Source: RNAcentral